CUCGUAGGCGGCUCGUCGCGUCCGGUGCGAAAGUCCAUCGCUUAACGGUGGAUCUGCGCCGGGUACGGGCGGGCUGGAGUGCGGUAGGGGAGACUGGAAUUCCCGGUGUAACGGUGGAAUGUGUAGAUAUCGGGAAGAACACCGAUGGCGAAGGCAGGUCUCUGGGCCGUCACUGACGCUGAGGAGCGAAAGCGUGGGGAGCGAACA
Molecule: ribosomal RNA, 207 nt
Filed under: uncultured bacterium
Lineage: Bacteria
Description: partial 16S ribosomal RNA
Rfam family: Bacterial small subunit ribosomal RNA
Source: RNAcentral